AANGAUUUAGGUUAACUAAACCAAGAGCCUUCAAAGCUUUAAACAAGAGUGCAAAUCUCUUAUUCCUUA
Molecule: transfer RNA, 69 nt
Filed under: Nothobranchius thierryi (Togo killifish)
Lineage: Eukaryota; Metazoa; Chordata; Actinopteri; Cyprinodontiformes; Nothobranchiidae
Description: tRNA-Trp
Rfam family: tRNA
About the family: Transfer RNA (tRNA) molecules are approximately 80 nucleotides in length.
Source: RNAcentral